UACGUAGGGUGCAAGCGUUAAUCGGAAUUACUGGGCGUAAAGCGCACGUAGGCGGCUUUGUAAGUUAGAGGUGAAAGCCCGGGGCUCAACUCCGGAACUGCCUUUAAGACUGCAUCGCUUGAAUCCGGGAGAGGUGAGUGGAAUUCCGAGUGUAGAGGUGAAAUUCGUAGAUAUUCGGAAGAACACCAGUGGCGAAAGGCGGCGUCACUGGACCGGUAUUGACGCCGU
RNAcentral lists this ribosomal RNA (228 nucleotides) under uncultured bacterium. RNAcentral describes it as "partial 16S ribosomal RNA". It matches the Rfam family "Bacterial small subunit ribosomal RNA", at positions 524 to 749 of the family's 1533-position model. The record is from RNAcentral.